GAUGAACGCUGGCGGCGUGCCUAAUACAUGCAAGUCGAGCGAACAGAUGAGGAGCUUGCUCCUCUGAUGUUAGCGGCGGACGGGUGAGUAACACGUGGAUAACCUACCUAUAAGACUGGGAUAACUUCGGGAAACCGGAGCUAAUACCGGAUAAUAUAUUGAACCGCAUGGUUCAAUAGUGAAAGACGGUUUUGCUGUCACUUAUAGAUGGAUCCGCGCCGCAUUAGCUAGUUGGUAAGGUAACGGCUUACCAAGGCAACGAUGCGUAGCCGACCUGAGAGGGUGAUCGGCCACACUGGAACUGAGACACGGUCCAGACUCCUACGGGAGGCAGCAGUAGGGAAUCUUCCGCAAUGGGCGAAAGCCUGACGGAGCAACGCCGCGUGAGUGAUGAAGGUCUUCGGAUCGUAAAACUCUGUUAUUAGGGAAGAACAAAUGUGUAAGUAACUAUGCACGUCUUGACGGUACCUAAUCAGAAAGCCACGGCUAACUACGUG
Molecule: ribosomal RNA, 497 nt
Filed under: uncultured bacterium
Lineage: Bacteria
Description: partial 16S ribosomal RNA
Rfam family: Bacterial small subunit ribosomal RNA
Source: RNAcentral